UACGUAGGGGGCGAGCGUUGUCCGGAGUUACUGGGCGUAAAGCGCACGCAGGCGGUCUGCUAAGUUUGGAGUGACAGUUGGUGGCUUAACUGCCAAAGUGCUUCGAAAACUGACAGACUUGAGGGCUUCAGAGGGACACGGAAUUCCGGGUGGAGUGGUGAAAUGCGUAGAGAUCCGGAGGAACACCAAAGGCGAAGGCAGUGUCCUGGGAAGUACCUGACGCUCAGGUGCGAAAGCCAGGGGAGCGAACGGG
This 253-nucleotide ribosomal RNA is filed under the name uncultured bacterium. RNAcentral describes it as "partial 16S ribosomal RNA". It matches the Rfam family "Bacterial small subunit ribosomal RNA", at positions 524 to 776 of the family's 1533-position model. The record is from RNAcentral.